Molecule: RNA transcript, 1164 nt
Organism: Solanum verrucosum
Lineage: Eukaryota; Viridiplantae; Streptophyta; Magnoliopsida; Solanales; Solanaceae
Gene name: probable aquaporin TIP1-1
Exons: 3
Source: RefSeq, a predicted model, not a curated record
CCGGUUACCUGCUUUACCCGGAACCUAGUCCCUCAUGCAAUUUACAAAUUUCACAAUAUAAAUCCAUGCAAAAUUUUCCAUAAUUUCAUCACUGUCCAACUUGCCCCUUAAUAGUAACACUAGAGAAAAUUUUCAAUUGUUAAUUUUCUGGUAAAAUGCCGAUCAACCAAAUUACUAUUGGAAGCCAUGAGGAACUCCGCCAUCCAGGGGCGCUUAAAGCGGCCUUGGCGGAGUUCAUCAGUACUCUGAUCUUCGUUUUCGCAGGUCAGGGUUCUGGUAUGGCUUUCAAUAAGCUUACCGACGGUGUCGCUACUCCCGCUGGCCUUAUUUCCGCCUCCAUUGCGCACGCCUUCGGGUUGUUCGUGGCCGUCUCUGUCGGUGCUAACAUCUCCGGCGGCCACGUCAACCCGGCUGUUACCUUCGGUGCUUUUGUUGGUGGAAACAUCACUUUGUUCCGUGGGAUUUUGUACAUCAUUGCACAGUUGCUUGGAUCCACUGCUGCUUGCGCUCUCCUUGAAUUCGCCACUGGUGGCAUGAGCACUGGAUCAUUUGCAUUGUCAGCCGGUGUAUCAGUAUGGAACGCAUUUGUAUUCGAGAUAGUGAUGACGUUCGGUCUCGUUUACACUGUUUACGCAACUGCAGUUGACCCAAAGAAGGGAGAUUUGGGAGUGAUUGCACCAAUUGCAAUUGGUUUCAUUGUUGGUGCCAACAUUCUAGCUGGUGGAGCCUUUACUGGAGCUUCAAUGAACCCAGCUGUGUCAUUUGGCCCAUCUUUGGUUAGCUGGACCUGGACUCACCAAUGGGUUUACUGGGCUGGACCACUUAUUGGUGGUGGGCUUGCUGGAUUUAUCUAUGAAUUCAUCUUCAUUAGCCACACUCAUGAGCAAAUCCCAAGUGGAGAUUUUUAAGUAAUGUGACAUUUUAUCAACUUGUUGUUUAAUUUUAAUUUUCUCUUUGUAAACUUCUUUGUUUUUUUGUCUAUGUUUAAUAUAUUAGGGCUUUCCAGCAUUCCAGGAUAAUCAUCAACAGUUAUCAUGCCUUCUGAUUUCAUGAUUUUAUGUUCUAUUGCUUAUUCACAUUUUAAUGUUGUGUUUUGUCAUAGUCACUAGCCAAAGAGCUCGUGAGAUCUAAAAGAACUGUGAACCGAUUGUACGAGAACAAGGC